Molecule: ribosomal RNA, 439 nt
Filed under: uncultured bacterium
Lineage: Bacteria
Description: partial 16S ribosomal RNA
Rfam family: Bacterial small subunit ribosomal RNA
Source: RNAcentral
CUACGGGUUGCUCCAGUGAGGAAUAUUGCACAAUGGGGGGAACCCUGGUGCAGCAACGCCGCGUGGAGGAUGACGCAUUUCGGUGUGUAAACUCCUUUUAUAUGUCAAGAAAAUGACGGUAGCAUAUGAAUAAGCACCGGCUAACUCCGUGCCAGCGGCCGCGGUAAUACGGAGGGUGCAAGCGUUACUCGGAAUCACUGGGCGUAAAGGACGCGUAGGCGGGUUGGAAAGUCAGGUGUGAAAUCCUACAGCUUAACUGUAGAACUGCACUUGAAACUUCUAAUCUAGAGUAUGGGAGGGGGAGAUGGAAUUAGUGGUGUAGGGGUAAAAUCCGUAGAUAUCACUAGGAAUACCUAAAGCGAAGGCGAUCUCCUGGAACAUUACUGACGCUAAGGCGUGAAAGCGUGGGGAGCAAACAGGAUUAGAUACCCGGGUAGUC